AAGCGCAGUAUGAGGUGCAGGGCUAUUUCACUUUAUUAAUAAAUACUAAACUACAGUGCAAAUAUUGUCCCGAAGCUAAUUCAGAUACCGAAUGUAAUAAAUAUUUAUUAAAGGAACAUUUACUUCAACAUGGUGUCAAUGUGAUGACACAACAUGAGAGUUUUAAUCAUUACUGGGUCGGAAAUUGCGCCAGAUUGAAGAUCCGCGCGUUCGAGAUCGACGAUAGUUAUUUUAAUGCAAACGAGAAACAAUAAGUUUAGCGCCAGAACGUUUCUUGAUUCUCUCCCCCUUUUCUUGUCGUUAAGUUGAUGACUUAGAACUUGCAACGAUCGCGAAGAAAAAUUCUAAGUCCGUGACUGAAAUUUAGGAGCGCAGCAGGACUGCUCGUGACGUCGAAUUGAGACGAAAAGAAGAAAGAACACUCGCGCUCAGAGGCAUGGUCUUAUAUAGAGACCCUCUAAUCAGAGUCGCGAAAUGACGCAGGAAAGUUAGGUCGAACAACGCCAUUUUUCAGCAAAAACCGGAAAUAGCGAACAUUAUCACACUAUUAUAUUAGCCAUGUUGGCUGUGUUGUAAAAUGACAUGUGUUACAAAAUGACAUAUAUUAACCUAUAGACACAUGGACAUCUAAAUGCAAAUGUCAAAAUAUAUUAUUAAAGUGUUUUUUUUGUGAAAUUUAGUAUUAGAUAAAAAAAUUAAUAAUAAUAUAUUAAUUGAUAAUGGCAUUUGACCAUGGCUAUUUCCGAUCUUUGCUGAAAAAUGUCGGCACCAAUCAAAAUUGGAUUCCUGAUUUCGCGACUCUUAUUAAAGGGUCUCUAGUCUUAUAUGGUCCGGCGCGACGCGGUGUGAGUAGCCAUGUGAACCAACUUCCAAACAUAACUGCUGUGGUAUAGAAUUCUGAGAGCGGCGUCCCGUGUGUCAAAGAUAAUUGAAACGGCUAAACGUGAGAACGGCUGGCUCGUGGCUAUGUCUGAUUGGUGAGGCGGUGUGGCGGUGUUGUGCAUGGUUUCGCGGGCUUCAUCCACGUGCACGACGAUAUUGUUUUGUAAUCAAUUGUUAUCGAAUUGUUGAUUAACAAGCCUUAAAAUAAAGUGACCAUGUGAAUCAGGCAUACUAAUAAUCGGAACGGGUGAGAAUGGCUGAUCCGUAAUCAGCUUCCUCGGUGCGCACUGAUAAUGUAUAAUGUAUAUAUGUGUAUACUGUA
Wasmannia auropunctata (little fire ant) is the source of this 1204-nucleotide long non-coding RNA. RefSeq lists it as uncharacterized. The transcript has 5 exons. The record is from RefSeq and is a predicted model, not a curated record. Lineage: Eukaryota; Metazoa; Arthropoda; Insecta; Hymenoptera; Formicidae.